This 468-nucleotide ribosomal RNA is filed under the name uncultured bacterium. Its description in RNAcentral is "partial 16S ribosomal RNA". It matches the Rfam family "Bacterial small subunit ribosomal RNA", at positions 28 to 507 of the family's 1533-position model. The record is from RNAcentral.
GACGAACGCUGGCGGCGUGCUUAACACAUGCAAGUCGAACGGAAAGGCCCUGCUUUUGUGGGGUGCUCGAGUGGCGAACGGGUGAGUAACACGUGAGUAACCUGCCCUUGACUUUGGGAUAACUUCAGGAAACUGGGGCUAAUACCGGAUAGGAGCUCCUGCUGCAUGGUGGGGGUUGGAAAGUUUCGGCGGUUGGGGAUGGACUCGCGGCUUAUCAGCUUGUUGGUGGGGUAGUGGCUUACCAAGGCUUUGACGGGUAGCCGGCCUGAGAGGGUGACCGGCCAAGUAGGGGAUGAGAUACGGCAAGGAGUACAGCGGGGGGCAGCGGUGGGCGAUAUGGGGGAGUGGGCUGAGGUGUGCUGAAGCGACGCCGCGUGAGGCAUGGCGGAGUGAGGGUUGUAAGGUACAUUCGCCUGUGACGAAGAGUGAGUGGCGGGCGUGGGUAAAGAAGAAAGGGCUAGUUAGGUG